RNAcentral lists this ribosomal RNA (372 nucleotides) under Triticum aestivum (bread wheat). RNAcentral's name for it is "partial small subunit ribosomal RNA". Lineage: Eukaryota; Viridiplantae; Streptophyta; Magnoliopsida; Poales; Poaceae. The record is from RNAcentral.
AUGGCACGAUGGCGGCUGCCCCACGCCGCCGCAUGCGCGGCCAGGACCACCUGCGCCCCUACUCUAGGCACCGCGGGGGCGAUGAUGACGACGAGGAGGCGGGCGACCGCGACCACGGGCGUGGGCGUCGGGGCGAGUCGCGCCUUGCUCGACGCACCGGCCUGCUCGGCUGCCGCUCGGAUGGCUCCAUGCGCGGCGCCACCUCGGAUGGGCGUCGUUCGCAUGGCUCUUCAUCCCGCCACGGGCGCCAUCGUAACGCGUCAUCAGGCUCCAUCCACGGGUGUAGCACCUCGCGCGGCUCCAACAGUGGUCAGUCGCGCCGCAGCCGCUCGAGGUCACGUGACCAGUGAUACGUCUCCAACGUAUCUAUAA